Phascolarctos cinereus (koala) is the source of this 529-nucleotide non-coding RNA. NCBI's taxonomy places the organism in Eukaryota, Metazoa, Chordata, Mammalia, Diprotodontia, Phascolarctidae. The record is from RefSeq and is a predicted model, not a curated record.
CAAAACAAAAUGAAGACAUUGCUGACAGAAGAUUUGCAUGCGAAAUUCGUGCAACUAGAGAAGGAGAAAAGUCAAUAGACUCUGUUGAGUAUUGAGCACAGCUUGAAGAACCCCCUACGAUGGUAAGCUUGGAAGAAAAGGUGGAGAAACUUAAGAAACAGCUCAGUGAAAUGAGAUGGUCAAAUCAAAUCAUAAAAAACUCACCUGAGGAGAGUCAUCUACCUCAAAGACAAAACCAUUGAGAAGAUCCGGGAAUCUUUAAAAAUGGUUGAAAGAGUUAAAGAGAAGACAGCUCCAAAAGUGAUCAAUUUGAGAAGAACAUCAGAGUACACCAUGCAAGAACCCAGAGAGGGCAUAGAAUGGCCUGUCAUACCCUGGAAGCUGUCACUAAUGAUCUAUAUAUAGUAAACAGAGCACUUGAAGAAGCAGAAAAAUGAGAAAAACUGUGUGUGACUGUUUCCACCCUUAUAGCUCGUGGAUUUUAGAGAGUCUAUAAAGAAGAUGAGAGGCUUUAACAUUGAAAUUCCAG